RNAcentral lists this ribosomal RNA (561 nucleotides) under uncultured bacterium. RNAcentral describes it as "bacterial SSU rRNA". It matches the Rfam family "Bacterial small subunit ribosomal RNA", at positions 338 to 916 of the family's 1533-position model. The record is from RNAcentral.
CCUACGGGAGGCAGCAGUGGGGAAUCUUGCGCAAUGGGGGCAACCCUGACGCAGCCAUGCCGCGUGAAUGAUGAAGGCCUUAGGGUUGUAAAGUUCUUUUGCCCGUGACGAUGAUGACGGUAACGGGAGAAUAAGCUCCGGCUAACUUCGUGCCAGCAGCCGCGGUAAUACGAAGGGGGCUAGCGUUGUUCGGAAUUACUGGGCGUAAAGCGCGCGCAGGCGGUUCGAUAAGUUAGGGGUGAAAUCCCUGGGCUCAACCCAGGAAUGGCCUUUAAGACUGUCGAGCUAGAGGACGAGAGAGGUGAGUGGAAUUCCCAGUGUAGAGGUGAAAUUCGUAGAUAUUGGGAAGAACACCGGUGGCGAAGGCGGCUCACUGGCUCGUUUCUGACGCUGAGGCGCGAAAGCGUGGGGAGCAAACAGGAUUAGAUACCCUGGUAGUCCACGCCCUAAACGAUGAGUGCCAGGUGUCGGGAAGCUUAGCUUCUCGGCGCCGCAGCUAACGCCUUAAGCACUCCGCCUGGGGAGUACGGCCGCAAGGUUAAAACUCAAAUGAAUUGACGG